RNAcentral lists this ribosomal RNA (1066 nucleotides) under Sinopodophyllum hexandrum. RNAcentral describes it as "bacterial SSU rRNA". It matches the Rfam family "Bacterial small subunit ribosomal RNA", at positions 359 to 1436 of the family's 1533-position model. Lineage: Eukaryota; Viridiplantae; Streptophyta; Magnoliopsida; Ranunculales; Berberidaceae. The record is from RNAcentral.
UCCCAUUGGCCAUGCUACGAGACACUCGCCGUGAUUGAAAAGUUCUUCGGAUUCGUAAACCUGUUAUUUACGGCAGACCCAUGUGUAGGUACCUAUGCCAGUCUUGACCGUUACCUAUUCAGAAAAGCCACGCUUACUACGGCCAGCAGGCGCGGUAUUACGUAGGUGGCAGCGUUAUUCCGAAUUAUGGCGUAAGCGGCGCGGUAGGCGGUUUUUAAGUCUGAUGUGAAGCCCACCGCCUCACCGUGGAGGGUCAUUGAAACUGGAAAACUUGAGUGCAGAAGAGGAAGUUGAAUUCCAUGUGUAGCGGUGAAAUGCGCAGAGAUAUGGAGGAACACCAGUGGCGAAGGCGACUUUCUGGUCUGUAACUGACGCUGAUGUGCGAAAGCGUGGGGAUCAAACAGGAUUAGAUACCCUGGUAGUCCACGCCGUAAACGAUGAGUGCUAAGUGUUAGGGGGUUUCCGCCCCUUAGUGCUGCAGCUAACGCAUUAAGCACUCCGCCUGGGGAGUACGACCGCAAGGUUGAAACUCAAAGGAAUUGACGGGGACCCGCACAAGCGGUGGAGCAUGUGGUCUAAUUCGAAGCAACGCGAAGAACCUUACCAAAUCUUGACAUCCUCUGACCCCUCUAGAGAUAGAGUUUUCCCCUUCGGGGGACAGAGUGACAGGUGGUGCAUGGUUGUCGUCAGCUCGUGUCGUGAGAUGUUGGGUUAAGUCCCGCAACGAGCGCAACCCUUAAGCUUAGUUGCCAUCAUUAAGUUGGGCACUCUAAGUUGACUGCCGGUGACAAACCGGAGGAAGGUGGGGAUGACGUCAAAUCAUCAUGCCCCUUAUGAUUUGGGCUACACACGUGCUACAAUGGGCAAUACAAAGGGUAGCGAAACCGCGAGGUCAAGCAAAUCCCAUAAAGUUGUUCUCAGUUCGGAUUGUAGUCUGCAACUCGACUACAUGAAGCUGGAAUCGCUAGUAAUCGUAGAUCAGCAUGCUACGGUGAAUACGUUCCCGGGUCUUGUACACACCGCCCGUCACACCACGAGAGUUUGUAACACCCGAAGCCGGUGGAGU